GGGCCCGCACAAGCGGUGGAGCAUGUGGUUUAAUUCGAUGAUACGCGAGGAACCUUACCAGGGCUUAAAUGUAAGUUGCAUGGAUCAGAGAUGGUCCUUUCUUCGGACUACUUACAAGGUGCUGCAUGGUUGUCGUCAGCUCGUGCCGUGAGGUGUCAGGUUAAGUCCUAUAACGAGCGCAACCCCUAUUGUUAGUUGCCAGCGGGUCAAGCCGGGUACUCUAGCGAGACUGCCGGUGCAAACCGAGAGGAAGGUGGGGACGACGUCAAAUCAUCACGGCCCUUACGUCCUGGCUACACACGUGCUACAAUGGCCGGUACAGAGAGCAGCCACCCCGCGAGGGGGCGCG
This 349-nucleotide ribosomal RNA is filed under the name uncultured bacterium. Its description in RNAcentral is "bacterial SSU rRNA". It matches the Rfam family "Bacterial small subunit ribosomal RNA", at positions 917 to 1269 of the family's 1533-position model. The record is from RNAcentral.